CCAAACUUGGUCAUUUAGAGGAAGUAAAAGUCGUAACAAGGUCUCCGUUGGUGAACCAGCGGAGGGAUCAUUACAGAGUUUUAUAACUCCCUAAACCAUUGUGAACCUUACCUUUACCGUUGCUUCGGCGGGCGGGCCGGCCCCAGGGCCGCGCCCCCCAGGCCCCCCCGCGGGGCGCCCGCCGGAGGAAACCAAACUCUUGAUACUUUAUGGCCUCUCUGAGUCUUCUGUACUGAAUAAGUCAAAACUUUCAACAACGGAUCUCUUGGUUCUGGCAUCGAUGAAGAACGCAGC
This 294-nucleotide unclassified non-coding RNA is filed under the name uncultured fungus. Its description in RNAcentral is "partial contains small subunit ribosomal RNA, internal transcribed spacer 1, and 5.8S ribosomal RNA". The stretch from base 1 to 73 matches the Rfam family "Eukaryotic small subunit ribosomal RNA", at positions 1759 to 1831 of the family's 1831-position model. Lineage: Eukaryota; Fungi. The record is from RNAcentral.